ACUAUUUUGGCAGAGAAAAUGUAGUGAUUUUAGAAAUCAUUAAUAUAUAAUUUAAUUAUAUAUGUAGUA
Molecule: transfer RNA, 69 nt
Filed under: Parnassius delphius
Lineage: Eukaryota; Metazoa; Arthropoda; Insecta; Lepidoptera; Papilionidae
Description: tRNA-Leu
Source: RNAcentral